UGGGGAAUAUUGCACAAUGGGCGCAAGCCUGAUGCAGCCAUGCCGCGUGUGUGAAGAAGGCCUUCGGUUGUAAAGCACUUUCAGCGAGGAGGAAGGUGGUGAGCUUAAUACGCUCAUCAAUUGACGUUACUCGCAGAAGAAGCACCGGCUAACUCCGUGCCAGCAGCCGCGGUAAUACGGAGGGUGCAAGCGUUAAUCGGAAUUACUGGGCGUAAAGCGCACGCAGGCGGUUUGUUAAGUCAGAUGUGAAAUCCCCGGGCUCAACCUGGGAACUGCAUUUGAAACUGGCAAGCUAGAGUCUCGUAGAGGGGGGUAGAAUUCCAGGUGUAGCGGUGAAAUGCGUAGAGAUCUGGAGGAAUACCGGUGGCGAAGGCGGCCCCCUGGACGAAGACUGACGCUCAGGUGCGAAAGCGUGGGGCAGCAAACAGGAUUAGAUACCCUGGUAGUCCACGCUGUAAACGAUGUCGAUUUUGGAGGUUGUGCCCUUGAGGCGUGGCUUCCGGAGCUAACGCGUUAAAUCGACCGCCUGGGGAGUACGGCCGCAAGGUUAAAACUUAAAGGAAUUGAC
Molecule: ribosomal RNA, 568 nt
Filed under: uncultured bacterium
Lineage: Bacteria
Description: partial 16S ribosomal RNA
Rfam family: Bacterial small subunit ribosomal RNA
Source: RNAcentral